Molecule: non-coding RNA, 479 nt
Organism: Theobroma cacao (cacao)
Lineage: Eukaryota; Viridiplantae; Streptophyta; Magnoliopsida; Malvales; Malvaceae
Source: RefSeq, a predicted model, not a curated record
UAUCCUCCCAACAAGGUAUUUUCUCCUUCAUUCUUGAAGCUUCCAGCGCCAUCUUCUCAUUCUCCCCCAUGGAAAGUUAAUUUUCUUCCAUUUUCUUUCCUUGUUUCCUUUUCAUUUCCUUUCUCUUCUUACUUAUUCCUUCUCCCAACUCCUUGUGCACCAAAGUUAUAACUUCUAACCCCAAUUUUCAGCACAUCUAAACCCUAGGAGAAGAAGAAGGAAAAAGAGAGAAAGGAAGAAAAAAGAUUGGUUUUGUAAUUCAAGCAAGUUAAGCUAUGGUGGCCAUGGGUGUAAGGGAAUUAUGAAUUUUGUUGGGUGAAAUCCAAGCUAAAACCAAGUGGUUUCUUGAGUUAAAGGUGAUUGGAUCUCAGGAUAAGGUGCUCCUCUCUAUCCAUUGCUCAAUAGGUUUACCAUGACAUUAGAUGUUAGCAAUCGUACCCAGAGUCACUCCGCUGACAAUUAAAGUCCAAUUAUGUGUA